This 226-nucleotide ribosomal RNA is filed under the name uncultured bacterium. RNAcentral describes it as "partial 16S ribosomal RNA". It matches the Rfam family "Bacterial small subunit ribosomal RNA", at positions 1274 to 1500 of the family's 1533-position model. The record is from RNAcentral.
UCUUAAAGCCAGUCUCAGUUCGGAUUGUAGGCUGCAACUCGCCUACAUGAAGUCGGAAUCGCUAGUAAUCGCGGAUCAGCACGCCGCGGUGAAUACGUUCCCGGGCCUUGUACACACCGCCCGUCACACCACGAGAGUUGGGAAUACCCGAAGCCUGUGAGCCAACAAACGAGGCAGCAGUCGAAGGUAGAAUCAAUGAGUUGGGGUGAAGUCGUAACAAGGUACC